CCUCGCUGCUGCGUUCUGUUAGGCUAUGGAUUACAGGAACAAAUGUAGUUGAAUAGAACAGCAGGCGGGAUUCCGCUUUCACAUUAAUUAAGAUUAUAGGAGCGAAGCGAUUCUAAAGACAUUAGUAAGGCAAGGCUGGAUGUAAUUCAGGAGAGAAUAAAGAGAUCUUAGUUCGAAGUUUCUCAACACUUUUCAACUCAAACCCUUAAAAUUAGACAUUCUUGAAAAUGCCUCCAAAAAAAAAAAAUAGAAUCCUUUACCCUUUGCCUCCCAUAUCCAUUGCCCCCACUCCUCGCAGAAGAAUCAGAUUACAAAACAUUGAAUUGCUGCCAUUCACGUCUCUACCCAUUAAUCUAUUCUUCACUCUGGAUUCUUCUCUCUUUUUUAUUCUAUACUAUAGUAUAUGGUCUGGUGGUUCAUAUCUGUUGGGUUAAGGAGCUUCUGCAAUCAAGGGAGGAAGAUGUCAUAUCAGAUAUGAUAUUGACAGAUUACGCUGAUUGGAAAUGGAUGAGAAGAUAGGAAGAAAGGUUUUGGAUGUUUUUAAGAUUGUUGAGGAAGCGUUUUCUGUAUAGGAGUAUUGAGGGAGCUCAUUAAGCUUAUUAAGGUUCUUAUCUUCUCUUUCUCAAUUUUCUUUUUCCAAUGACCAAAUUUUAUUUUUUAUGAAUAGAUCUACAAGGAACCAUGAAGCUAUUGCAAUGUCUUUCCUUGUAGCAAAUGCAAUUGGUGCUCAUAUCAAUGACCAUUGACUUUCUGUUGCCAUUCAUAUUAGCAUCAUUUGCUGCAAAUUUUCACUUUCACGGUUUUUCAAUACUUCGUUUCUUGAAGUUAAUGUCAGCAAUCUUCGACCAAAUCUAUAAGGACCAACUAGAAGAGAAUAGGGAUCUCUUAGCUAUCGAAGUAUAGAGGCAUUUUGUUCUUGAGACUAGCUUCAGAUUUAAAUUGUGCAAUUGGGACUUUGUCUUGUCAAAUUUCUGUAGGCAGUAGGUAGUGACUGUGAUUGUUCAUUAUUAUUAUUUUUUUUUGUCUAUUAUAAUAUCUGUGGAAGAGGCGAUUAACUAGGACCAAUGAAUCUGUAUCAAAUCUAAUUUUUGGAUUGGUAAAUGAAUGGGCCGCUUGCUUCUUGGAUGAUCUUGAUUAUUUAGCGAGGGAGAAAAUGGAACUUGAAAUUAAGGAAUGUUUACAUUAUUCUAUUGGAUUUCAGCUUUUUUAAAACUUUAAUGUAUGAAGCAUUCGAGGAAAUAAUUAUUAAAAUAAAAUCAUAUUUUUUAAAUCUUUUAAUUCAAAUUAGGGAUGAAAAUCCAUUGGUAAUCAUCAACGGACAGAAUCUAUAGGUAAUUUGCGAUGGAGAAUUCUGUUGCUAAUUAUUGAUGGAAAUAGCCGUUGGUAAACACCGACGGCUUCUUCCGUCGCUAAAUUACCGAUGACCUAGGUAAUUUGUUGCUAAAAUUAGUGGCGAGGGUAUUACCGACGGAUUUUCCAACCGAAAAUUUUCAUUUUUGAAAGUCGUUAGUGAGGGAAUUUAAGGCAUUCGUGAUGGAAAUUUCCAUAUCUAAAGCCGCAUUUUUUUGUAGUGCCAUUAUUUUCAAGCACAAGACUAAUGCGAAAUAUCAACAAUCUUAAGAACGGAAAAAAGUCUUAAAAGCUGCUAUUCUUUAAAGUUUCUGGAGAUGAGCAAGCCCCGAGAAAUUGGAGGGAAUAGAUCUGUUAAGCUGAUUAUUUGAUAGAUUACUGGAAAAUUAUUGUACAAUGAAGAUAUGUAUUAGCACAAACUGCUAUAAUAUCUCCAAUGGCAGCAUCCAGAAUGUUACUUACAUGGUUGUGAUAUUGCUAGAGUCUGUUUACUGGUAUGUUUUCAGUAAGUUGAUUCUUGCUAAGAUCUCUGUAACAGGAGGAGAACAAUUAUAUUCAAGAACAAAGCAGGCUGGGUUUAUUUUUUCCAUCAAUGCAAGACUUGUACUGAUAUAAUGUCACUUUGCUCGUCAACUUCAUAGAAAGGCCAUACCCCCCCGGGCCCCCAACCCCGACCGAAAAAAAGGUUGCUAGGUUAACAAUAUCAACCUUAUGGGAAGCACACUUCAAAUUAAACAGAGAGAACUUGUUAAAAACUCACACAAGUAUGAUAAGCUUAGCUUUACUCUCAAUAAUCUUAAGACCUGACUUUAUGACUUUUUUGCAGCAACUUUUUUUUUUAACCCAACUUUCUCACGAGCUUGAGGUUUAUAUUCUUGAUUUCCGGCAUCAGAUUCCCAACAGCCUAACAUUAUAACUUCCCCCAACUCCAAUCCCAACCGGAAAAAAGGUUGAUAGGUUAACUAUCAACCUUAAAGGGUUAACAAUAUUAACCUAAUAGGGUAAUUGGGAGCACUCUUUAGAACAGAGACAACUUGCUAAAAAACUCACACAAGUAUGAUAAGCUUAACUUUACUCUCAAUAAUCUUAAGGGCUGAAUUUAUGAAUUUUUUUGCAUUAACUUUUUGUUCGACCCAACUUGCUCACGAACUUGAGGCUUAAAUUCUUGAUUUCCGGCGUCAGAUUCCCAACAGCCAAACAUUAUAACUCUGCCCUCCCCCACCUCUAACCCCAUCCGGAAAAAAGGUUGCUAGGUUAACUAUCAACCUUAAAAGGGUUAACAAUAUUACCUAAUAGGAUAAUUGGGAGCACUCUUCAGAACAGAGACAGCUUGCUAAAAAACUCACACAAGUAUGAUAAGCUUAACUUUACUCUCAAUAAUCUUAAGAGCUGACUUUAUGAAUUUUUUCAGUAACUUUUUGUUUGACCCAACUUGCUCACGAACUUGAGGCUUAAAUUCUUUGGUCCUCCAAAUUAUUAUAAUUGUUAAUCUAAUAUAUGGACUUCAAAAUAAAGCUCAAACACCUAUUAUGUUGACAUACUUUAGGAUGGUACUGCAUAAUUCAUUCUAGAGAUUCAUAUUUACUGCCACUUAAUUAUUUUUUCCGCAAUUACUAACUGUAUUUAAUUCGCUUUGUGCCUGUCAAUGUUAAGGAAGAAAAGCUAUGGAGACAACCAGGUUAUGAACAUUUGAAUGAACCUCUCCACAUCUUGGUUGAGGCUGAUUUACCUGUUAAUGUUGUUGAUAUGAGACUGAGGCAAGCCCAAGAGAUAAUAGAAGAACUGCUCAAAACUUGUGGUAUUAAUCUCAAACCAAUCUUUCUUUGAAAAAUCAGACAAUUUCGUUUCUUUGAGCCAUUCACUACCCAGUAAAGACACAGAUGGUAAUCUACUGAAUUGCUGACUUGAACUACACAAGCUCAAACAUGUCAAAUCACGCAUAUUAAGAAUUAUCCAUUGCUACAUUUUCAUUUUUGUGCUCGAUGAGUCAGAGGAUUCUAUAAAGAGGCAGCAAUUGCAUGAGCUAGCCCUGUUAAAUUCAAAUUUUGGAGAAGAGAGUCCUGGACCAGGUGGUAGCGUCUCACCUUUCAAUACCAGUGGAAUGAAGUCUGAAAAAACAGGAAAUUUGGGGAUGAAAUUGUCGAUCCAUUUCUGUUUUUUGGGUGGUCAUUGCUCAUUUUUUCAGGUGGUAUUUUUUUGGUCUUUCGCAUAUGGUGCCUUUUUGUUGAUGCCAUAUUUUGGUGAAGUUUCUAUAUAAGGAGAUGAACGAUUUGGUAGCUAACAUUGCAAAACAGGGACAAUUUUUUCUUGGCCUUUCACAGAUGGGAAUUGUUGGUUGUUGACACUCUGAUGCUUUGAUGCAAGGAGUGUAUAAAUGAUGAAUGGAAACGAGACUUGGGAAUAUUUGGCUCAAAUUUAUGGCAUGCUUUUAUACCCUUACUGAACAUUUUUAUGGGCUAAAGACAUCGAUCAUUUGCUGAGGCUCCGAAGAUUCUCUAUGAUUGACCAAGGCUGAUAGGACAUGACAAAAUGUUGUAGUUAUUUAUCUUCAAACCCUGC
Molecule: long non-coding RNA, 3909 nt
Filed under: Olea europaea subsp. europaea
Lineage: Eukaryota; Viridiplantae; Streptophyta; Magnoliopsida; Lamiales; Oleaceae
Source: RNAcentral